ACGCUGGCGGCAUGCUUUACACAUGCAAGUCGAACGGCAGCGCGGGGCAACCUGGCGGCGAGUGGCGAACGGGUGAGUAAUAUAUCGGAACGUACCCAAGAGUGGGGGAUAACGUAGCGAAAGUUACGCUAAUACCGCAUACGAUCUAAGGAUGAAAGCAGGGGAUCUUCGGACCUUGUGCUCCUGGAGCGGCCGAUAUCUGAUUAGCUAGUUGGUGAGGUAAAGGCUCACCAAGGCCACGAUCAGUAGCUGGUCUGAGAGGACGACCAGCCACACUGGAACUGAGACACGGUCCAGACUCCUACGGGAGGCAGCAGUGGGGAAUUUUGGACAAUGGGCGAAAGCCUGAUCCAGCAAUGCCGCGUGAGUGAAGAAGGCCUUCGGGUUGUAAAGCUCUUUUGUCAGGGAAGAAACGGUUCGGGCUAAUAUCCUGAGCUAAUGACGGUACCUGAAGAAUAAGCACCGGCUAACUACGUGCCAGCAGCCGCGGUAAUACGUAGGGUGCAAGCGUUAAUCGGAAUUACUGGGCGUAAAGCGUGCGCAGGCGGUUUUGUAAGUCUGACGUGAAAUCCCCGGGCUCAACCUGGGAAUUGCGUUGGAGACUGCAAGGCUAGAAUCUGGCAGAGGGGGGUAGAAUUCCACGUGUAGCAGUGAAAUGCGUAGAGAUGUGGAGGAACACCGAUGGCGAAGGCAGCCCCCUGGGUCAAGAUUGACGCUCAUGCACGAAAGCGUGGGGAGCAAAC
RNAcentral lists this ribosomal RNA (743 nucleotides) under uncultured bacterium. Its description in RNAcentral is "bacterial SSU rRNA". It matches the Rfam family "Bacterial small subunit ribosomal RNA", at positions 33 to 773 of the family's 1533-position model. The record is from RNAcentral.